Carassius carassius (crucian carp) is the source of this 802-nucleotide long non-coding RNA. RefSeq lists it as uncharacterized. The record is from RefSeq and is a predicted model, not a curated record. NCBI's taxonomy places the organism in Eukaryota, Metazoa, Chordata, Actinopteri, Cypriniformes, Cyprinidae. The transcript has 5 exons.
UCUUAUAUACACCAUUCAACUUAUAAUUAAGAUAUGGUUUUUAUUUAUUUAUACAUUCAUUCACUUUUAUAUUUUUUAUUAAAGCAAAAUCUGCAGAAAGAACCACACCUGAAUAUCAUAAUGAUUUCUCCAGCACUGAAGGCCCAACAGAAAAGCAACAAAUCACAUCAGAGAACUAUGAUGAUGUCAUCAUUGCUGGACUGAGACAUGCUACAGAUGACUUACCAGAAAACUAUGAUGAUGUUGUCAUUAUAAGACAGCUGUCCAAUGAUAAAGCAGAGGGUGUUCAGGAGGAGUAUGAUGAUGUGAAGAAUGUCAGAGAAUAUAUGACUGACAUGUUUGACUAUGAUGAUGUGGAGGAGGAUCCAGGAAAACAGACAGGAGCUGUUUAACUCAAACCUCACACACUGCCUCAAAUCCUUUCAAAGCUUUUAAAGUAUAAAACUUACUAUAUAAGUUUCAGUUGCAGUCUAACAGUGUUUUGUUACAUUCUGUACUGAAAUAUACAACUGCUAUUUUUGACAGAAAAAAAAUGCUUUGCUUUCAUGACCAUUUUUAAAAGAUGCUUGACUUUUUCCAGACACUUUUACAAAUCUUUUCUAUUGUGUAGCCUUAGAAAUUUGAGAGAACAAAAACCUGUCAUUUUCUGAAAUUCAGUUACUUUGAAUAAACAUAAUUGUGUUGAGUUCAGAUCGUUCAUCAUUCAGCUGCCACCCAUCAUUAAUGGAUUAUAAUAUCUUCAACUUAAUAAUAUUAUAAUAUGAAAUAUCAAAAUAUCAUUCACUGAUGGCUCACUGUUAAU